GAUGAACGCUAGCGGCAGGCCUAAUACAUGCCAGUCGAACGGGAUCCAGAUCAAAGCUUGCUUUGGUCUGGUGAGAGUGGCGCACGGGUGCGUAACGCGUGAGCAACCUACCCUUGUCAGGGGGAUAGCCCGGCGAAAGUCGGAUUAAUACCGCAUGACAUCAUUGAGAGGCAUCUUUCGAUGAUCAAAGAUUUAUCGGACAAGGAUGGGCUCGCGUGACAUUAGCUAGUUGGUAAGGUAACGGCUUACCAAGGCUGCGAUGUCUAGGGGCUCUGAGAGGAGAAUACCCCACACUGGUACUGAGACACGGACCAGACUCCUACGGGAGGCAGCAGUAAGGAAUAUUGGUCAAUGGACGGAAGUCUGAACCAGCCAUGCCGCGUGCAGGAAGACGGCCCUAUGGGUUGUAAACUGCUUUUAUACGGGAACAAACGUCGGUACGUGUACCGGUCUGAGUGUACCGUAAGAAUAAGGAUCGGCUAACUCCGUG
This 490-nucleotide ribosomal RNA is filed under the name uncultured bacterium. Its description in RNAcentral is "partial 16S ribosomal RNA". It matches the Rfam family "Bacterial small subunit ribosomal RNA", at positions 28 to 507 of the family's 1533-position model. The record is from RNAcentral.